This 496-nucleotide ribosomal RNA is filed under the name uncultured Glomeromycotina. Its description in RNAcentral is "partial small subunit ribosomal RNA". It matches the Rfam family "Eukaryotic small subunit ribosomal RNA", at positions 591 to 1092 of the family's 1831-position model. Lineage: Eukaryota; Fungi; Glomeromycota. The record is from RNAcentral.
CCAAUAGCGUAUAUUAAAGUUGUUGCAGUUAAAAAGCUCGUAGUUGAAUUUUGGGUUUGGCCGAUUGGUCCGUUCUUGUAACGAGUACUGGUUGGUUGGGCCUCACUGCUUGGGGAGGAGUAAUGUUCUUUAUUGGAUGUUGCUAAUAGCCAAGACCUUUACCUUGAAAAAAUUAGAGUGUUUAAAGCAGGCUUAUGCCGGAAUACAUUAGCAUGGAAUAAUAGAAUAGGACAAUGAUUCUAUUUUGUUGGUUUCUAGGACCGUUGUAAUGAUUAAUAGGGAUAGUUGGGGGCAUUAGUAUUCAAUUGUCAGAGGUGAAAUUCUUGGAUUUAUUGAAGACUAACUACUGCGAAAGCAUUUGCCAAGGAUGUUUUCAUUAAUCAAGAACGAAAGUUAGGGGAUCGAAGACGAUCAGAUACCGUCGUAGUCUUAACCAUAAACUAUGCCGACUAGGGAUCGGGCGAUGUUAUUUAAAUGACUCGCUCGGCACCUUAUG